AAACAACUCCCUCAUCCUCCUUCUCCUCCUGUUCCACCCCCUCCCCGUACUCAUACUCUUGCAAUUUCUUACUAUCUUCUUCUUCUUAUUCAUCAUCAUUAUAAUCAUCUCUCUUUCUAAAUCUACCAGCAAAGGAAACUGAUUUGGGUGAUUUCGAGAUGAAAUAGAUGAAGAAGAGAUGGUUAAUGCUGAGAAGAAGAAGUAAUGAAACAAAUUAUUGUUGAUUGUAGACCCGCAGAUGAAGAAGAAAUUGGUUUAUGAAGAAAAAAGAUGGUUGAAUGGAUAAUUGCAGCAGAUUCGUGAAGACCUAGGGUUUGGUGGUAAUGAACAGCUGGAUGGAAGAUGGGUUUUAGGUUGAUUUUAGUUUGAACUCCAGUUGCUAAAUCAAGAGUUGUUUGUGGUGGUUGUGCUCAAGAGACUCAAGAGGAAUCAAAACAACUGUUUCAAUGGUUUUCUUGAGCUGGAUUUGUAUUUUGAGAUAAGUAGAAGGGUUAGAUGAAUGUUAGGACAGGGAUGAAGCAAUUAUUGUUGGUGGUUCUGGUUUGUGAUGAAUUCAGAAAUGCGGGAAGACAUUGCAACUGGGUUGGUUGUUCAUGAUCUUUUUUCUUUGUAUUUUGGAGAAUUUUUGAUGAAUUUAUGUAUUUUAUGGUUUAAUUUGAGAUGUGAGUUUGUUAACUUGUUUUAAUUUUGAAUUCACAACAAAAUUAAUCAAAUGAGAAAUCUUUCUUGUUUGCAGCAAUUAAGACAGGUAAUUUGAUGUGGUUUUGGUUUGGCUCAGCAAUUGAUUUACUUACUUGAGUCAGUAAGAGAAGUGUUACCCCAGGUACUAAUAAGUUUGUACGGGAUCGUGGAAUUGAUGCUGAACUAUAAAAUCAUAGAACAUCCGUGUUCUGAUAACAACAGAUGUCUGGACUUGUGGGAUUGAUGCUCAACAGCUGGUGGAAUCGUUGCUUGGCGAGGUUACAGACGAGUUCGAACGUUGCUUGGCGACCCAAAAUGAAUCUAUUUUGUGUUUCUCUAAGUUGGUGUGAUCUUAUACUAGAAAUAUUGAUAGUACUUGGAAUUGAAAGAAUGGGGAUGGGUUUGGAAGAAAUGUUGCACUACGACUGCAUGCCAAUGGAUCCGAGUUUGUUGCAAUGCUGCGAGGACAUCUUACUAUACUGGGAGAGUGCAUUGAAUGGACAACAGCUGCUGAAUCAUCUAGAGCAACACUUGUGUCUCAUUUAAAAGAAGCUCUCUAGGAACAGGAAAUGAAGAUGGAACAAGUAUGCAGUCAGCUUUCAUGUAAUAACUGAGCACUUCAAUAUGAUGACUUCUGGAGUCAAUAUUUUCUUUCAAGGAUUUUGGAGGAGGAGCACGCUUGGAAGUGUACAAGGAACUUAAAGCUUUGUGACCUUGAAGGAUAUAGGUUGUAUUUUUACUGGCCUGAAUAUAUUGUUCAAAUGGAAGACUUUGUUGUUCAGUGCG
Papaver somniferum (opium poppy) is the source of this 1467-nucleotide long non-coding RNA. RefSeq lists it as uncharacterized. The record is from RefSeq and is a predicted model, not a curated record. NCBI's taxonomy places the organism in Eukaryota, Viridiplantae, Streptophyta, Magnoliopsida, Ranunculales, Papaveraceae. The transcript is spliced from 7 exons.